AGUGAACGCUGGCGGUAGGCCUAACACAUGCAAGUCGAACGGCAGCACAGUAAGAGCUUGCUCUUACGGGUGGCGAGUGGCGGACGGGUGAGGAAUACAUCGGAAUCUACUUUUUCGUGGGGGAUAACGUAGGGAAACUUACGCUAAUACCGCAUACGACCUACGGGUGAAAGCAGGGGAUCUUCGGACCUUGCGCGAUUGAAUGAGCCGAUGUCGGAUUAGCUAGUUGGCGGGGUAAAGGCCCACCAAGGUGACGAUCCGUAGCUGGUCUGAGAGGAUGAUCAGCCACACUGGAACUGAGACACGGUCCAGACUCCUACGGGAGGCAGCAGUGGGGAAUAUUGGACAAUGGGCGCAAGCCUGAUCCAGCCAUACCGCGUGGGUGAAGAAGGCCUUCGGGUUGUAAAGCCCUUUUGUUGGGAAAGAAAAGCAGCAGGUUAAUACCCCGAUGUUCUGACGGUACCCAAAGAAUAAGCACCGGCUAACUUCGUG
RNAcentral lists this ribosomal RNA (492 nucleotides) under uncultured bacterium. RNAcentral's name for it is "partial 16S ribosomal RNA". It matches the Rfam family "Bacterial small subunit ribosomal RNA", at positions 29 to 507 of the family's 1533-position model. The record is from RNAcentral.